RNAcentral lists this long non-coding RNA (2081 nucleotides) under Gossypium raimondii (Peruvian cotton). RNAcentral describes it as "long non-coding RNA (GRAI_LNC006583)". Lineage: Eukaryota; Viridiplantae; Streptophyta; Magnoliopsida; Malvales; Malvaceae. The record is from RNAcentral.
GUCUAUACAUGCCAUAAUUUCCGGAAUACUAGUAGCAAAAUACCCAAACGUGGAUGAUAGUGUAGAUGAUUGUCUGACUCCGUCCCAAUUCCGAGUUGAUGGAAAUCACUAUAAUCAAGGGAAAAAUAAAAACGAGUAAGCAUAUAGCUUAGUAAGUAAACAUAUGACAAAUAAAUAAAUUUCUCACAUGACUACACCAUAGUAUAAAUUUAUUCACAAUUAAAUUUCAUUGUUUGUGUAAUUUCCAGCAAGCUGGUUUUCUGCAUCAUAACCACUAAUUUAUUUUUAUCCGGAGCUACAGGGAUCCAAAUUGAAUUCCGUAACUUUUCCCUGAAACUAGACUCAUAUAUCUUUCUAUAAUAAAAUUUUCAGAAUUUUUGAUCUAGCCAAUUAGUACAGUUUAUUCUUUAAAUCUUCCCCUAUUUCACUGCCCGACAGUCCUGACCUCCCCUUACAAAAAUUCACAUAACUCUCUGUACAAGUUUCAAACAAUGUUCUUGUUUGUUUCUAUUAAAAAUAGACUAAAAAAGGAAUCCAGGCAUAUAUAUUUCAAGCCAUAAUUAUUUUUGUAUAAUUUUUUGUGAUUUUCCAAAGUUGGAACAGGGGAUUUCGAAAUCAAUCCAGCCCUGUCUCAGUAAAAUUCAAAUAUCUCCAAAAAUACAACUCUUUUGCUUGCUCUAUUUCUUUCAUAUGAAAAUAGACUCAUUCAGCUUCAAUUUCAUAUAUUAUUUAACCUAUAAUUAAUUUUCCACCAUUUAUGGUGAUUUUUCAUAGUUGCCCAACUGCUGCCAUUCAAAACAGUUUUGCAUUCAAAUUGUCUCUUUUUGUAUUUUUUUAUUUUCCUCCCAUCUUAUACAUGGGUUGAUUAAGUAUCAAACUCAAUAUUCCUCCCAUAAACUUGUCCACCACAUAUAUGAUUAUUCACCUUCCCAAUUUACUCUUUGAACACUCGGAAUGUUAACUGUUAUCGGUGGAUUCCGCACUUAGCAACCACCAAUGAAUCGGUAAAUCAGCACACAGCAACCCCUUGGGGGAAUCAGUACUUAGCAACCCCCUUCACAUUUCAAAGAUAUGGUGGAAUCAGCACUUAGCAACCACCAAUGAAUAGGGGAAUUAGCAUUUAGCAACCCCCUUUCACAUUAAAAAUACGGUGGGAUCAGCACUUAGCAACCACCAAUAGGUAGGGGAAUUAGCACUUAGCAACCCCUCGGGGGAAUCAGCACUUAGCAACCCCCUUUCACAUUUAAAAUACGGUGGGAUCAGCACUUAGCAACCACCAUUGAAUCGGGGAAUCAGCACACAGCAACCCCUUUAUAUGCAAUAUGCUCCGGCCUAUUCCGAGUGUUCAACCAAAAACCGUGUUUUGCAACCCCUUACCACCUUUCCCAAUUUAACAACAUUUUUGGAAUCUUGCCAAACAUUUAUUUUAUAUUCAAAUAAAUCUCAACACAUAUCAAAUAAUAUCAAAAUAAUACAUUAAGUCACAUGUUUACUUACCUCGGUGCAAAAUAUCGUAAUUUUGCAAUUUACUCCACUACUUUCUCUUUUCCCUGUUUGAUGUAUUCUUCUCGUCUUUCUUGAUCUAUAAUAACAAAAUUAACUCAUUUAAUGUUCACAUUUAUUAAAAUAAUCCUCCACCCAACUUUUUGAAAAAUUACAAUUUUGCCCCCAAACUUUUGCAUAUUUACAUUUUCGUCAAUAAGCUCGGAAAUUAAACUUCAUCUCUUAUUCUUAUGUUUUAUGACAUGCUGAACAUUUUCCCUUGUAUGACAACAUCAAAUUCUCACUCUAACACACACUUUUGAACAUUAGGUAUUUUUACCGAUUAUGUCUAUUUACCCGUUUUCGUUUAAAAUCGCUUAGCAAAAGUUGUUUAACAUAAUUUCUAGCUUCAUAUUCCACCAUAAAACAGAAAAGUAAACACAUUUCACCUAUGGGUAUUUUUCCAAAUAUGAACCCUAACACGAAUUAUUGAUAGAAUAAGCUAAAUUAAGUUACCGGGACUCCAAAAACGUAAAGAACAUUAAAAACGGGGUUUGGAAUCACUUACUAUUGAGCUUGGAAGCUUAAAAACCCUAACU